RNAcentral lists this ribosomal RNA (498 nucleotides) under uncultured bacterium. RNAcentral's name for it is "partial 16S ribosomal RNA". It matches the Rfam family "Bacterial small subunit ribosomal RNA", at positions 899 to 1397 of the family's 1533-position model. The record is from RNAcentral.
ACUCAAAGGAAUUGACGGGGGCCCGCACAAGCGGUGGAUGAUGUGGUUUAAUUCGAUGCAACGCGAAAAACCUUACCUACCCUUGACAUGCCAGGAAGGCCGCAGAAAUGCGGUUGUGCCCGAAAGGGAAUCUGGACACAGGUGCUGCAUGGCUGUCGUCAGCUCGUGUCGUGAGAUGUUGGGUUAAGUCCCGCAACGAGCGCAACCCUUGUCAUUAGUUGCUACAUUCAGUUGAGCACUCUAAUGAGACUGCCGGUGACAAACCGGAGGAAGGUGGGGAUGACGUCAAGUCCUCAUGGCCCUUAUGGGUAGGGCCACACACGUCAUACAAUGGCGCAUACAGAGGGGUGCCAACCCGCGAGGGGGAGCAAAUCCCAGAAAGUGCGUCGUAGUCCGGAUUGAAGUCUGCAACUCGACUUCAUGAAGUCGGAAUCGCUAGUAAUCGCGGAUCAGCAUGUCGCGGUGAAUACGUUCCCGGGCCUUGCACACACCGCCCGU